RNAcentral lists this ribosomal RNA (253 nucleotides) under uncultured bacterium. Its description in RNAcentral is "partial 16S ribosomal RNA". It matches the Rfam family "Bacterial small subunit ribosomal RNA", at positions 524 to 776 of the family's 1533-position model. The record is from RNAcentral.
UACGUAGGGUGCAAGCGUUGUCCGGAAUUAUUGGGCGUAAAGAGCUCGUAGGUGGCCUGUCGCGUCGGCUGUGAAAACUCGGGGCUCAACUCCGAGCUUGCAGUCGAUACGGGCAGGCUAGAGUUCGGCAGGGGAGACUGGAAUUCCUGGUGUAGCGGUGAAAUGCGCAGAUAUCAGGAGGAACACCGGUGGCGAAGGCGGGUCUCUGGGCCGAAACUGACGCUGAGGAGCGAAAGCGUGGGUAGCAAACAGG